GACGAACGCUGGCGGCGUGCUUAACACAUGCAAGUCGAACGGAAAGGCCCUGCUUUUGUGGGGUGCUCGAGUGGCGAACGGGUGAGUAACACGUGAGUAACCUGCCCUUGACUUUGGGAUAACUUCAGGAAACUGGGGCUAAUACCGGAUAGGAGCUCCUGCUGCAUGGUGGGGGUUGGAAAGUUUCGGCGGUUGGGGAUGGACUCGCGGCUUAUCAGCUUGUUGGUGGGGUAGUGGCUUACCAAGGCUUUGACGGGUAGCCGGCCUGAGAGGGUGACCGGCCACAUUGGGACUGAGAUACGGCCCAGACUCCUACGGGAGGCAGCAGUGGGGAAUAUUGCACAAUGGGCGGAAGCCUGAUGCAGCAACGCCGCGUGCGGGAUGACGGCCUUCGGGUUGUAAACCGCUUUCGCCUGUGACGAAGCGUGAGUGACGGUAAUGGGUAAAGAAGCACCGGCUAACUACGUGCCAGCAGCCGCGGUGAUACGUAGGGUGCGAGCGUUGUCCGGAUUUAUUGGGCGUAAAGGGCUCGUAGGUGGUUGAUCGCGUCGGAAGUGUAAUCUUGGGGCUUAACCCUGAGCGUGCUUUCGAUACGGGUUGACUUGAGGAAGGUAGGGGAGAAUGGAAUUCCUGGUGGAGCGGUGGAAUGCGCAGAUAUCAGGAGGAACACCAGUGGCGAAGGCGGUUCUCUGGGCCUUUCCUGACGCUGAGGAGCGAAAGCGUGGGGAGCGAACAGGCUUAGAUACCCUGGUAGUCCACGCUGUAAACGGUGGGUACUAGGUGUGGGGUCCAUUCCACGGGUUCCGUGCCGUAGCUAACGCUUUAAGUACCCCGCCUGGGGAGUACGGCCGCAAGGCUAAAACUCAAAGGAAUUGACGGGGCCCCGCACAAGCGGCGGAGCAUGCGGAUUAAUUCGAUGCAACGCGUAGAACCUUACCUGGGUUUGACAUGGAUCGGGAGUGCUCAGAGAUGGGUGUGCCUCUUUUGGGGUCGGUUCACAGGUGGUGCAUGGCUGUCGUCAGCUCGUGUCGUGAGAUGUUGGGUUAAGUCCCGCAACGAGCGCAACCCUUGUUCACUGUUGCCAGCACGUUAUGGUGGGGACUCAGUGGAGACCGCCGGGGUCAACUCGGAGGAAGGUGGGGAUGACGUCAAGUCAUCAUGCCCCUUAUGUCCAGGGCUUCACGCAUGCUACAAUGGCUGGUACAGAGAGUGGCGAGCCUGUGAGGGUGAGCGAAUCUCGGAAAGUCGGUCUCAGUUCGGAUUGGGGUCUGCAACUCGACCUCAUGAAGUCGGAGUCGCUAGUAAUCGCAGAUCAGCAACGCUGCGGUGAAUACGUUCCCGGGGC
RNAcentral lists this ribosomal RNA (1345 nucleotides) under uncultured bacterium. RNAcentral describes it as "partial 16S ribosomal RNA". It matches the Rfam family "Bacterial small subunit ribosomal RNA", at positions 28 to 1380 of the family's 1533-position model. The record is from RNAcentral.